RNAcentral lists this ribosomal RNA (253 nucleotides) under uncultured bacterium. Its description in RNAcentral is "partial 16S ribosomal RNA". It matches the Rfam family "Bacterial small subunit ribosomal RNA", at positions 524 to 776 of the family's 1533-position model. The record is from RNAcentral.
UACGUAGGUGGCAAGCGUUGUCCGGAAUUAUUGGGCGUAAAGCGCGCGCAGGCGGUCCUUUAAGUCUGAUGUGAAAGCCCACGGCUCAACCGUGGAGGGUCAUUGGAAACUGGGGGACUUGAGUGCAGAAGAGGAGAGUGGAAUUCCACGUGUAGCGGUGAAAUGCGUAGAGAUGUGGAGGAACACCAGUGGCGAAGGCGACUCUCUGGUCUGUAACUGACGCUGAGGCGCGAAGGCCAGGGGAGCAAACGGG